UACGAAGGGGGCUAGCGUUGUUCGGAAUUACUGGGCGUAAAGCGUGCGCAGGCGGUUUUGUAAGCCGGAUGUGAAAUCCCCGGGCUUAACCUGGGAAUGGCAUUCGGGACUGCAAGGCUGGAGUGCGGCAGAGGAGACUGGAAUUCCUGGUGUAGCAGUGAAAUGCGUAGAUAUCAGGAGGAACACCGAUGGCGAAGGCAGGUCUCUGGGCUGACACUGACGCUCAUGCACGAAAGCGUGGGGAGCAAACAGG
This 253-nucleotide ribosomal RNA is filed under the name uncultured bacterium. Its description in RNAcentral is "partial 16S ribosomal RNA". It matches the Rfam family "Bacterial small subunit ribosomal RNA", at positions 524 to 776 of the family's 1533-position model. The record is from RNAcentral.